This 253-nucleotide ribosomal RNA is filed under the name uncultured bacterium. RNAcentral describes it as "partial 16S ribosomal RNA". It matches the Rfam family "Bacterial small subunit ribosomal RNA", at positions 524 to 776 of the family's 1533-position model. The record is from RNAcentral.
UACGUAGGGGGCAAGCGUUGUCCGGAAUCAUUGGGCGUAAAGCGCGUGUAGGCGGUCCGGUAAGUCCGCUGUGAAAGUCGGGGGCUCAACCCUCGGAUGCCGGUGGAUACUGUCGGGCUAGAGUCCGGAAGAGGCGAGUGGAAUUCCUGGUGUAGCGGUGAAAUGCGCAGAUAUCAGGAGGAACACCGAUUGCGAAGGCAGCUCGCUGGGACGUUACUGACGCUGAGACGCGAAAGCGUGGGGAGCAAACAGG